RNAcentral lists this ribosomal RNA (301 nucleotides) under uncultured bacterium. RNAcentral's name for it is "partial 16S ribosomal RNA". It matches the Rfam family "Bacterial small subunit ribosomal RNA", at positions 509 to 809 of the family's 1533-position model. The record is from RNAcentral.
CAGCAGCCGCGGGAAUACGAAGGGGGCUAGCGUUGCUCGGAAUGACUGGGCGUAAAGGGCGCGUAGGCGGCGGCCAAAGUCAGGCGUGAAAUUCCCGGGCUCAACCCGGGGGCUGCGUUUGAUACUUGGUUGUUUGAGUGGGGAAGAGGGUCGUGGAAUUCCCAGUGUAGAGGUGAAAUUCGUAGAUAUUGGGAAGAACACCGGUGGCGAAGGCGGCUCACUGGCUCAUUCUAGACGCUGAGGUGCGAAAGCGCGGGGAGCAAACAGGAUUAGAUACCCGAGUAGUCCCUGUCUCUUAUAA